ACCUGGCUCACACCGGUUUAAACUCAGAUCAUGUAAAAUUUUAAAGGUCGAACAGACCUAAUUUAUUAGCUUCUCCACCAACAAUUAAUUUUAAUCCAACAUCGAGGUCGCAAUCUUUUAUUUCGAUUAGAACUCUAAAAAAAAUUACGCUGUUAUCCCUAAGGUAAUUCAAUCUUAUAAUCUAUAUUCUAGGAUCAUAAACUCAUAAAUUAAUGAUUCUAUAAAAAAAAAGUUUGUUAAAUUUUUCUAUCACCCCAACAAAAUAUUUUUUUAGCUAAUUUAAUAAUUUUACCUAUAAUUUCAAUUAACUUUAAAAUAUAAAACUCUAUAGGGUCUUCUCGUCUUCUAUAAACAUUUAAGCUUUUUAACUUAAAAAUAAAAUUCUAAUAAAUUUUUAUAGAGACAGAAACUUUUUCAUCAAACCUUUCAUUCCAGCUUUCAAUUAAAAAACUAAUGAUUAUGCUACCUUUGCACGGUUAGUAUACCGCGGCCAUUAAACUUCUCAUUGGGCAGGUCAGACCUAAAAUUAUAAUCAAUAGGCC
This 542-nucleotide ribosomal RNA is filed under the name Trigonopterus insignoides. RNAcentral's name for it is "partial 16S ribosomal RNA". The record is from RNAcentral. Lineage: Eukaryota; Metazoa; Arthropoda; Insecta; Coleoptera; Curculionidae.